GUCGUAUCGGUUAGAUUGGGAUACUCAUCAAAUUAAAUUGAAAACCGAGAUGACUUCUCUUGCCAAUGGCGGGCCACAUACCCAUCAGGGUAGCAGAAAUGCCGGUGGAUUACAAAAGCGGAGAGCUCUCAAAUCUUAUGUUAUAGGAGUUUUCAUCACAUCAUCGGUACGACCAUUUU
This 179-nucleotide small RNA is filed under the name uncultured Prevotella sp. RNAcentral describes it as "Bacteroidales-1 6S-Bacteroidales RNA suggested". It matches the Rfam family "Bacteroidales-1 6S-Bacteroidales RNA suggested". The record is from RNAcentral. Lineage: Bacteria; Pseudomonadati; Bacteroidota; Bacteroidia; Bacteroidales; Prevotellaceae.